Molecule: transfer-messenger RNA, 363 nt
Filed under: Shigella flexneri
Lineage: Bacteria; Pseudomonadati; Pseudomonadota; Gammaproteobacteria; Enterobacterales; Enterobacteriaceae
Rfam family: transfer-messenger RNA
About the family: Bacterial tmRNA, also known as 10Sa RNA or SsrA, is named for its dual tRNA and mRNA-like properties. Its role is to liberate the mRNA from a stalled ribosome.
Source: RNAcentral
GGGGCUGAUUCUGGAUUCGACGGGAUUUGCGAAACCCAAGGUGCAUGCCGAGGGGCGGUUGGCCUCGUAAAAAGCCGCAAAAAAUAGUCGCAAACGACGAAAACUACGCUUUAGCAGCUUAAUAACCUGCUUAGAGCCCUCUCUCCCUAGCCUCCGCUCUUGGGACGGGGAUCAAGAGAGGUCAAACCCAAAAGAGAUCGCGUGGAAGCCCUGCCUGGGGUUGAAGCGUUAAAACUUAAUCAGGCUAGUUUGUUAGUGGCGUGUCCGUCCGCAGCUGGCAAGCGAAUGUAAAGACUGACUAAGCAUGUAGUACCGAGGAUGUAGGAAUUUCGGACGCGGGUUCAACUCCCGCCAGCUCCACCA